RNAcentral lists this ribosomal RNA (501 nucleotides) under uncultured bacterium. Its description in RNAcentral is "partial 16S ribosomal RNA". It matches the Rfam family "Bacterial small subunit ribosomal RNA", at positions 30 to 523 of the family's 1533-position model. The record is from RNAcentral.
AUUGAACGCUGGCGGCAGGCUUAACACAUGCAAGUCGAGCGGAGCGAGGGUGCUUGCACCUUAGCUUAGCGGCGGACGGGUGAGUAAUGCUUAGGAAUCUGCCUAUUAGUGGGGGACAACAUUCCGAAAGGGAUGCUAAUACCGCAUACGCCCUACGGGGGAAAGCAGGGGAUCUUCGGACCUUGCGCUAAUAGAUGAGCCUAAGUCGGAUUAGCUAGUUGGUGGGGUAAAGGCCUACCAAGGCGACGAUCUGUAGCGGGUCUGAGAGGAUGAGCCGCCACACUGGGACUGAGACACAGCCCAGACUCCUACGGGAGGCAGCAGUGGGGAAUAUUGGACAAUGGGCGGAAGCCUGAUCCAGCCAUGCCGCGUGUGUGAAGAAGGCCUUUUGGUUGUAAAGCACUUUAAGCGAGGAGGAGGCUACUAGUAUUAAUACUACUGGAUAGUGGACGUUACUCGCAGAAUAAGCACCGGCUAACUCUGUGCCAGCCGCCGCCGUAA